UACGUAGGGUGCAAGCGUUAAUCGGAAUUACUGGGCGUAAAGCGUGCGCAGGCGGUUAUGUAAGACAGGUGUGAAAUCCCAGGGCUUAACCUUGGAACUGCAUUUGUGACUGCAUAGCUAGAGUACGGUAGAGGGGGAUGGAAUUCCGCGUGUAGCAGUGAAAUGCGUAGAUAUGCGGAGGAACACCGAUGGCGAAGGCAAUCCCCUGGACCUGUACUGACGCUCAUGCACGAAAGCUAGGGGAGCGAACAGG
Molecule: ribosomal RNA, 253 nt
Filed under: uncultured bacterium
Lineage: Bacteria
Description: partial 16S ribosomal RNA
Rfam family: Bacterial small subunit ribosomal RNA
Source: RNAcentral